CAAAAACCCAUUCUCCUGUACGCUAACAGCUCUUGGAUUCUGAAUUUGCUUUGGUGAUCCAUCAUCUCAUGGCCUCUAAUGGUGAAUCUGCGCCUACGGGAGCAAUGGACGCACAGAACAGCUUGGAGAGGAUCAAGCGGCAAUUGGCGUCCGGUUCUGGUAGGAAUUUGUUGCAGGGCCCUCUUCUCAAGCGAUCUGAAACUCUGAGAAAAUGGAAUGAACGAUGGGUGAUCUUGGACCCAACUACUGGAAAAAUGGAAUACAAGACUAGGAGAAAUGAGCCGACUGUGAAGGGAACUAUCAUCUUUGAUGCAAAUAGCACAAUAACGGUUUCUCCUGUGAACUUCCAUGGACUUCCAAAGUACGAAGGGUGCUGUUUCUAUAUUGGUACUCCACAAAAAAAAGACUACUUCCUUUGUGCAGAGACUCCUGGUGCAGCUAGAGCAUGGGUUGCAACUUUACAUGCAACCCUGUUGGUUCUAAAGGCACAUAAAGAAGCAGUGAAUUCCUUGAGUGGGAAUGGUUCUGCGAAGCUUGGGACAAUCGCGACUGUGGUUGCUGCUGCCAACUCAACAGCCCUUGAAUGCUCUAAAGAAAUUGAAGCUGCAAUGCAGAUUUCCUUGAGAAAUGCUUUGGGAAUGGUGAAUAAUAGGAUAAUUGAUGGCCCAAUGGAUGAUCUAACAAUCAUGAAGGAGACACUAAAGGUUAAGGAUGAAGAACUGAAGAAUUUGGCCCGGGACCUUCGUGCUCGUGAUUCAACAAUAAGAGACAUAGCAGAGAAACUAUCUGAGACUGCUGAAGCAGCUGAGGCCGCAGCAUCUGCGGCACAUACAAUGGAUGAACAGAGGAGAAUUGCUUGUGCUGAAAUUGAGCGGUUGUCAAAAGCUUCACAGAAGCAGCUGGAGUCAUCCGUGUUGAAGCUUAAAGAGUUUGAAGAGAAGGUUAUGACUCUAACCAAAGAAAGAGAUGAACUGAUCAAGCAGAGAGAUUCUGCGCUUCACGAGGCACAUUUAUGGCGUUCUGAGCUUGCAAAAGCUAGAGAGCGCGUUGUGAUAUUGGAAGGAGCAGUGGUGAGAGCAGAGGAGAAGGUUAGGGUUGCAGAAGCAGACGCUGAAGCUAGAAUAAAGGAAGCUUCACAGAAAGAGGCAGCUGCUAUGAAUGAGAAGCAAGAGCUUCUAGCAUAUGUGAAUGCAUUACAGGCACAACUUCAAAGACAGCAGAUUGAUACAAAGGAAGUGUUUCAGAAGACUGACUCUUCAAAUGUUGUUGGCAGCACUCCUCCCCUGACUAAGCAUGUGGACUUGUCUGAAGAGGAUGUAGAUAAAGCUUGUCUUAGUGUUUCUAGAGUGCUGCCACAUUCUGGGGAGAGUGUCGUGCACAUGGGAGUGGACCAAACUAACCUCCGGCCAAUUGGAGACACUGAAUGGAGCGAUAUACAGCCAACAGAGUCGAGAAUAGCUGAUGUAAGAGAGGUUGCUUCUGAGACAGAAGGAAGCAGCUUGGAUAUUUCUGUUGUUAGCUCACCUGUAAAUAAUCACCAUGAGCAAGGAGGCAACAAUUUUUAUCAGCCUUGAUGUUUAACGCUUUACAUUUUAUAGAAAACAACAUGCAAAUGUAUGGAACGGUAAACUAUUUAAAUUAGUUUACCAAAAAAAAAAAAAAAAAAAAAUUGUUGCCUCACUUGGUAUAUUCCUGCCUGAUUGGCUGUUACUGUUGUGAUGCCAUUGUACAUUUGCAAGAGGAUACAUGAGAUUUUU
RNAcentral lists this unclassified non-coding RNA (1757 nucleotides) under Hevea brasiliensis (rubber tree). The record is from RNAcentral. Lineage: Eukaryota; Viridiplantae; Streptophyta; Magnoliopsida; Malpighiales; Euphorbiaceae.